CAGCAGUUCAAGUUGCAUCCCUUUUUAUUGGGUCUAAAACAUCCGUAGCUUGCCGUUUAAGUCUCUUGUGAAAUCCUACGUCUUAAGCGUAGGGCUUGCAGGAGAUACUGUAUGGCUAGAGAUCGGUAGACGUAAGGAGUACGCCGGAGGUAGUGGUAAAAUACGUUAAUCUUCGGUGGACUAACAAUCAGCGAAGGCACCUUACGAGGACGAAUCUGACAGUGAGGGAUGAAAGCUGGGGGAGCAAACCGGAUUAGAUACCCGAGUAGUCC
This 272-nucleotide ribosomal RNA is filed under the name uncultured archaeon. Its description in RNAcentral is "partial 16S ribosomal RNA". It matches the Rfam family "Archaeal small subunit ribosomal RNA", at positions 477 to 747 of the family's 1478-position model. The record is from RNAcentral.